This is a long non-coding RNA of Temnothorax curvispinosus, 566 nucleotides long. RefSeq lists it as uncharacterized. Lineage: Eukaryota; Metazoa; Arthropoda; Insecta; Hymenoptera; Formicidae. The record is from RefSeq and is a predicted model, not a curated record. The transcript is spliced from 3 exons.
CCUGUCUGGUCUGGAAUCGACGUCCUCACGGCUCACGGCUACGUCGACUACAACGCAACGGGGACAAGGACAAGCCGGACAAGAUACGCCGCUGAGGUUCGCACCUCUCAGUUGCCUAAGCAAACAGGGGCAAUUGCUGGCCAUAUUGACCUCGUGUAGAGGCAGGAGCCAAUACAACAUUAAAGAAGAAGAAGAAGAAGAAGCCGCUGAGGUUCGUCCAGUUCGUCCUGGCCAUAUUUCACCAUAUUUGGAGCAGUACUGUUAAAGGCCAUUAUACAAGAAGAGGAAGACUGUGGUCCCGGUUUAUCGAUGCAGAACGUUAGAUGUUUAUAAUAGCAUCUUUAUAAAAAUAUAUUAAGAAAAUGACCGAAUGCAACGAACACUUAAACUGUGCGAGAGGAGUGGAUGAAUGUGGAAUAUAUACCAAGGAUUACUUACAAAGAAUGAAUUGUAAAUUGAGAGGGAUGGCCUCACCAAAGCAUCCUGACAUCAAUUUUGCUGCGAGAAUAGCAACAAUACCGAAGCAUCCCGAAUAUAUCAGUUAUGCUGCGAGAUUAGCCUCGUUC